GAAAAGGUAAGCUAAACUAAAAGCUAUUGGGCUCAUAACCCAACAAUGGAAAUGUCCCCUUUUCA
This 65-nucleotide transfer RNA is filed under the name Protaeolidiella atra. RNAcentral describes it as "tRNA-Met". Lineage: Eukaryota; Metazoa; Mollusca; Gastropoda; Nudibranchia; Aeolidiidae. The record is from RNAcentral.